This 253-nucleotide ribosomal RNA is filed under the name uncultured bacterium. RNAcentral's name for it is "partial 16S ribosomal RNA". It matches the Rfam family "Bacterial small subunit ribosomal RNA", at positions 524 to 776 of the family's 1533-position model. The record is from RNAcentral.
UACGGGGGGGGCAAGCGUUGUUCGGAAUUACUGGGCGUAAAGCGCACGCAGGCGGCUUGGUAAGUCAUCGGUGAAAUCCCCCGGCUCAACCGGGGGGGGUCCGGCGAAACUGCCAGGCUUGAGGUCGGGAGGGGGAAGCGGAAUUCCGGGUGUAGUGGUGGAAUGCGUAGAUAUCCGGAGGAACACCAGUGGCGAAGGCGGCUUCCUGGCCCGAAUCUGACGCUGAGGUGCGAAAGCGUGGGGAGCGAUCCGG